RNAcentral lists this ribosomal RNA (329 nucleotides) under uncultured bacterium. Its description in RNAcentral is "partial 16S ribosomal RNA". It matches the Rfam family "Bacterial small subunit ribosomal RNA", at positions 99 to 426 of the family's 1533-position model. The record is from RNAcentral.
CAAAAAAAAAACACGUAGAUAACCUACCUAUAAGACUGUGAUAACUUCGGGAAACCGGCGCUAAUACCGGAUAAUAUAUUGAACCGCAUGGUUCAAUAGUGAAAGACGGUUUUGCUGUCACUUAUAGAUGGAUCCGCGCCGCAUUAGCUAGUUGGUAAGGUAACGGCUUACCAAGGCAACGAUGCGUAGCCGACCUGAGAGGGUGAUCGGCAACACGGGAACUGAGACACGGUCCAGGCUACUACGGGAGGCAGCAGUAGGGAAUCUUCCGCAAUGGGCGAAAGCCUUACGGAGCAACGCCGCGUGAGUUAUGAAGGUUUUUUUUUUUU